RNAcentral lists this ribosomal RNA (465 nucleotides) under uncultured bacterium. Its description in RNAcentral is "partial 16S ribosomal RNA". It matches the Rfam family "Bacterial small subunit ribosomal RNA", at positions 28 to 507 of the family's 1533-position model. The record is from RNAcentral.
GACGAACGCUGGCGGCGUGCUUAACACAUGCAAGUCGUACGGUAAGGCCCUUUCGGGGGUACACGAGUGGCGAACGGGUGAGUAACACGUGAGUAACCUGCCCACAACUUUGGGAUAACGCUAGGAAACUGGUGCUAAUACUGGAUAUGUGCUCCUGCUGCAUGGUGGGGGUUGGAAAGCUCCGGCGGUUGUGGAUGGACUCGCGGCCUAUCAGCUUGUUGGUGGGGUAGUGGCCUACCAAGGCGGCGACGGGUAGCCGGCCUGGGAGGGUGACCGGCCACAUUGGGACUGAGAUACGGCCCAGACUCCUACGGGAGGCAGCAGUGGGGAAUAUUGCACAAUGGGCGCAAGCCUGAUGCAGCAACGCCGCGUGCGGGAUGACGGCCUUCGGGUUGUAAACCGCUUUCAGCAGGGACGAAGCUUUUUGUGACGGUACCUGCAGAAGAAGCACCGGCUAACUACGUG